GGGAUCUGCAGCACAAGCCAUUCUUGCAGCCUGGGUCUCAAGAUGAAUGCUCAGGUUCCUUGGAAGACGGCAAUGCUACCAGCCGUAAGUGUAGGUGUCCCAAAUAUCGGGAAGGGAGAGGACGCCAACUUUCCUCCCGUUUGUUGAGCAACUCGCCGAGUCACAGGAGGAUACGCACUUCUCCUUUUCCUGACGCUGAUACGUGGUGAUGGCGGCCUUGACUUUGCACUGGACCAUCGGCUGAAUGAGUUCACGUGAAGAGGAAGUUGGGAAAGGCCCCGGCCUCGGCAAGCCGCUCGUGUACGUGCCUUGAUUGGACGACAAUGGCCGGCUCGUCCGGUCCGGGUCCGGUUGUGGUGGAGAGCGACAUGUGCGGAUGUGCCGCUUGAGGUUCUAGGGCGAAGGUCACGGUUGUCGCUGGGUUCAGAUUUGUCGUGCGGCUGCUUUGCUAGCUGCGGUGAUUCUCUGCCGUUGGGUUUCUUUUUGCCAGCCGGUGCCGUCCGGUGGUCGACACCUUGCCAGUCGAGAGCACACCUGUGAACUGGUUGGUAGCCUUGUGUCAAACCUGCACUUGAAAUGCACGGCUGUUGCUGGACUUUGGGUCGGUUCGCAUUGAUCACAUCCAAUUUAGGGAUAAAUUUUGUUUUUUGUCGCUAAGCCUUUGUAUCAUUGCAUGUUUUCUAAAAAAAAAAUGCUGUAUUUUCUUUUUGACUAGUGAUAGCAAGAACUAUUUUUUCCUCU
Hordeum vulgare subsp. vulgare (domesticated barley) is the source of this 741-nucleotide long non-coding RNA. RefSeq lists it as uncharacterized. The transcript has 2 exons. The record is from RefSeq and is a predicted model, not a curated record. Lineage: Eukaryota; Viridiplantae; Streptophyta; Magnoliopsida; Poales; Poaceae.